AUGGCCCGGCCCAGCCGCUCGGAAGUUCGCGGAGCCUGCGAGUGGCGCAGAGCGCUUGGUGGCCGCGGUGGGCGAGCUCGGGAGGCGAGGGCGGGGCCGGGGCGGGGCCGGGGCUCCCGGGGCGGGCCGCUGGGGGCGGGAGCCCAGGGAGUGCCCCGCCCUUGCCCACUGCUGGCUGGCGCGUUGGGGGUGGGAUCCCCGCUUCCCCGCGCCGUCCCUCGUACUCCGAGGACUCCAACCUGUUAGGUGAGUCCCUUCCCGGGGAGGGGCGCUGGGGGCGGCGAGGCGCUAGUUGCGCGCGCGCAUGCGCCUCCCGGGACACCGGGGCUGCGCGUCUCCCAGGAGGAGCCGACGCCCCUCCCUCAACCGGCGGGAAAACUGAGGCCGCGGAGGGGACGCGCUUACCCAAGUCCCACGGCGAGGUGGGACGAGGAAGGGGUGGGACCCCGGCCCCCAGACUCCCGGGCGCCUUUCCAGCAAGCCCAGCGUACUCUGCGUGUCGUGGGCCACUUUGGGUCUCACUGUCACGCGUGGGUGAGUGUCGCGGCGGUGUGCGCCUCAGGCCGGGCAGCGCCCGCGCCGGCGUAUCCGCGCCUCGGCGAGUCUGCGAACGGCACGUGUCUGCAGCCGCGCGUGUGUCCGCAAGUGGGUGUGCGCGCCGUGCCGCCCGGAAAGCGGGAGGCCCUGCGGGCGUGCGCGGGACCUGUUGUCAGCAGGCCUGGCAGAUGGGAACUCAGCUCCGGAAUUAAUUGCCUGUUUGUCUCCGGCUGGGAGGUCGCCCCCCUUCCCUGGCGACCAGUUGCUCCGGCCCUAGCGGGCCCCCAAUGUUGCCGGCAUCUGCGGCCGCAGGCGGCUUCGGGGACAGGCUCCGGGUCAGCCCCGAAGCCUGGGUCCCGCCGGGCGGGCUCCCCGGGAUGUGAGCGCCACCUGCCGGCCGCCGCGCGCACGACCCCGAGGCUGGGGAGACCCGGCGCCGCGCGUCCCAGGCCUGGAGGCGCACUCCGAAACUCCGGAGGUUGAGAUCCCGGCGGAGACCCAGACACGCGACUGCGGCGCCUACCUCUGGAGAAAGAAAACGGGCGUCAGCCCAUAUCCGUAUCUGGGUACCCAGGACAACACCCCCACCCCACCCCACACUGCGGGCAGACAGCCCCGCCCCCCGCCGCUCCACCGCUCCGGGACACACGCCCUCUAUAUCCCGUCCCCCCACCCACACGCGCGACCCAGAGCUCGCAGCGAUCGGGAGCCCGGGUCCUGCGCCCAUGGCCAGCCACACCCGCAACUUCAGCGCUUCCGCUGCCGCGGCGCUUUGGGAAGCACAAGCUCACAUCCCAUAUCCGCAGAGCACCGGGUGCACGAUGGGGCUUGAGUCACCUCGCAGGCUCAGCAACAGUCAGGAGCCCCUGACCCCCUACUUCGCCCAUCCUAGCAAGGCGCAGGCAUCACCAUAAACGCUGGAAUUGCUGACCACAUGGCUGAUCAUGACCACCUGCCCUGUACCCACCCAGACUUCCGGUCUGGUGGAAGAGCUGCCCCCUCCCUGAGUCCACCAUCACUCCUGGCCUGGGAUCAGGGCAAGUUAUAAAGGGGGCCAGAGUCCCCCCUUUCUCCCUGUCACUCUCCAGGAGGACACUCUGGAGACUACCCGCCCUCAUCCCUCCCCCACAGGAAGGGGACUGGAGAGGCUGUCCUGGCUCCUUUUCCCCCAUCCUGUCUCAUCCAAGACCCUGAGCCUGGGGGGUUGGGCUCCCUUCAGCGGACCAAGGGCUUCUGGGAGGAGGCCACCCGCCAUGUCAGCGGAUUGAUUAAAGUCAUUGUGAGGA
Molecule: long non-coding RNA, 1823 nt
Organism: Saimiri boliviensis boliviensis (Bolivian squirrel monkey)
Lineage: Eukaryota; Metazoa; Chordata; Mammalia; Primates; Cebidae
Source: RefSeq, a predicted model, not a curated record